RNAcentral lists this ribosomal RNA (467 nucleotides) under uncultured bacterium. RNAcentral's name for it is "partial 16S ribosomal RNA". It matches the Rfam family "Bacterial small subunit ribosomal RNA", at positions 28 to 507 of the family's 1533-position model. The record is from RNAcentral.
GACGAACGCUGGCGGCGUGCUUAACACAUGCAAGUCGAACGGAAAAGCCUCUUUCGGGGGGUACUCGAGUGGCGAACGGGUGAGUAACACGUGAGUAACCUGCCCUUGACUUUGGGAUAACUUCAGGAAACUGGGGCUAAUACCGGAUAGGAGCUCCUGCUGCAUGGUGGGGGUUGGAAAGUUUCGGCGGUUGGGGAUGGACUCGCGGCUUAUCAGCUUGUUGGUGGGGUAGUGGCUUACCAAGGCUUUGACGGGUAGCCGGCCUGAGAGGGUGGCCGGCCACAUUGGGACUGAGAUACGGCCCAGACUCCUACGGGAGGCAGCAGUGGGGAAUAUUGCACAAUGGGUGGAAGCCUGAUGCAGCAACGCCGUGUGCGGGAUGACGGCCUUCGGGUUGUAAACCGCUUUCGCUCAUGACGAAGCUUUGUGUGACGGUAGUGGGUAAAGAAGCACCGGCUAACUACGUG